CCCUUGGUGGUUCAGGGGCUAGGACUCUGCACUCCCAAAGCAGGGGCCCAGGUUCAAUCCCUGGUCAGGGAA
Ovis aries (sheep) is the source of this 72-nucleotide transfer RNA. It matches the Rfam family "tRNA". From Rfam's summary of the family: Transfer RNA (tRNA) molecules are approximately 80 nucleotides in length. Their secondary structure includes four short double-helical elements and three loops (D, anti-codon, and T loops). Lineage: Eukaryota; Metazoa; Chordata; Mammalia; Artiodactyla; Bovidae. The record is from Rfam.